This is a non-coding RNA of Carassius carassius (crucian carp), 502 nucleotides long. NCBI's taxonomy places the organism in Eukaryota, Metazoa, Chordata, Actinopteri, Cypriniformes, Cyprinidae. The record is from the annotation of a RefSeq genome assembly.
AUGUCUUCUGACACACACAGAGGCAGAAGAGUGCUGGAGCUGCAGUGUGUUUUUUCUGUGUUUGUGAAUGUGUUGUGUUUGUCUCCUGCAGCUGGUCCCACAGUGAAGCCCUCAGUGUCUCUGCUGCCGCCCUCUUCUCUGCAGAUCUCUGGAGACUCAGCCGCACUGCUCUGCCUGCUCAGCUCUUACUCUCCACAGGGGGCGCUGGUGAGCUGGACACUGGACGGCUCAGAGGUCACCGAGGGGGUUGUGACCAGCGCAGAGAGCGAGCAGGACGGCCGCUACAGCCGCAGUAGUGUCCUGACCCUCAGCAAAGCACGCUGGGAAGCGGGAGAGCAGUACGUCUGCAGAGUAACACAUGAUGGAGCUCCUCAUGAGGCCUCGUUCCACAAGAGUCGCUGUUAGUCGCUCGCAGUGCUGAUGUUUCUCCAGUGAGCGCUGCUCUCUCCUGAAGAUGAGUGUAUCUGAGUGUCCUGUGUCAGGCAGGAUUCACAUGAGUCUA